Long non-coding RNA from Oncorhynchus keta (chum salmon), 2189 nucleotides. RefSeq lists it as uncharacterized. The record is from RefSeq and is a predicted model, not a curated record. The transcript is spliced from 3 exons. NCBI's taxonomy places the organism in Eukaryota, Metazoa, Chordata, Actinopteri, Salmoniformes, Salmonidae.
GAGAAAGGGAUAGUAGUUAUUUUCAUCUUAUAGUAUCCCGUCUGUUUAUGCCAUCACACCAAACUCUUUGUCACUCAUUGUCAUAUUAAACUUGAUCUGGGAUCAGGUUUAGUGUCUAAAGCACUCAAUACGUUACGGUAAUCAUUGUUGAAAUCGGGGAGUGGACUUUGAAUCUGUCUCCGUCUGUUCGUACAUACGUACAUCAGACAGAAAUUGGGGUGAAUGAUGUGUCUUGACCUAGAGAUCCGGCAUUUACAAAAUUACCCUGAUUAGGCCUCAGGGGGGCGCUAUAGUAAUAUCUCUGCUGAUCCUACAGCUAUUGUAUGCAGUAAUCAUAUGCCUAUGAACCAGAUUUAUACUGUUAUCACUGAGGCGGUGUGUCCUAGGAGGAAGUCCACUGUGUGCAGCUCACCCUGCACUAAAAUAAAUAACAUGAGCAUAUCUACUUCUGAUAAGCUUCCCAGUAAAAGCAAUGAAAACAAGUAAGCAACCCAGAAGAAAAGUGCUCAAAACAGCCCAUGUCAACAUAAGAAACGAGGUUCAUCAAAUCAAUCAUUUGCUAUUAACAGAUACAUCUCUGAAACUCACUUAGAUAAAACCCUUGAUGAUAUAAGUGGUAGCAAUAAAAGGUUAGAACAUCUACAGAAAAUACAGAAAUGACAAAGGUGGAGGUGCAGUUUAUAUGCAGAAACACAUUCCUGUAAAGAUUAGAGAGGAUCUCAUGUUAAAUACUGUUGAAGUAAUAUGACUACAGAUUAAUCUGCCUCAAGCACAUUCUGGUGGUAAGCUGCUAUAGACCACUAAGUGCUAACAGUCAGUAUCUGGAUAAUGUUAAAUACUGUUGAAGUAAUAUGGCUACAGGUUCAUCUGCCUCACCAAAGCCCAUUCUGGUGGGAAGCUGCUAUAGACCACCAAUUGCUAACAAUCAGUAUGCUUGAUAGUGUAUGUGAUAUCAACAGAGAGGUAUAUUUUCUGGGGUGAUUUAAAUAUUGACUGGCUUUCAUAAUAAUAAUAAUAAUAAAUGCCAUUUAGCUGACGCUUUUAUCCAAAGCGACUUACAGUCAUGUGUGCAUACAUUCUACGUAUGGGUGGUCCCGGGAAUCGAACCAACUACCCUGGCGUUACAAGCGCCAUGCUCUACCAACUGAGCCACAGAAGGACCACAGCUGCCCACUCAAGAAAAAGCUUCAAACUGUAACCAGUGCCUGCAGCCUGGUUCAGGUUAUCAGUCAACCUACCAGGUUAGUUACAAACAGCACAGGAAUGACAUCAUCAACAUGUAUUGAUCACAUCUUUUACUAAUGCUGCAGAAAUUAGCUUGAAAAGCAUCAUAUCCAGAUCCAUAGGAGGCAGUGAUCACAACAUAGUAGGCUUGUCUAUGAAAACCAAAGUUCCAAAGGCGGGGCCUAAUAUAGUGUAUCAGAGAUCAUGAGGCCUAAUAUAGUGUAUCAGAGGUCAUGGGGCCUAAUAUAGUGUAUCAGAGGUCAUGGGGCCUAAUAUAGUGUAUCAGAGGUCAUGGGGCCUAACAUAGUGUAUCAGAGGUCAUGGGGCCUAACAUAGUGUAUCAGAGGUCAUGGGGCCUAACAUAGUGUAUCAGAGGUCAUGGGGCCUAAUAUAGUGUAUCAGAGGUCAUGGGGCCUAAUAUAGUGUAUCAGAGGUCAUGGGGCCUAAUAUAGUGUAUCAGAGGUCAUGGGGCCUAAUAUAGUGUAUCAGAGGUCAUGGGGCCUAAUAUAGUGUAUCAGAGGUCAUGGGGCCUAAUAUAGUGUAUCAGAGGUCAUGGGGCGUAAUAUAGUGUAUCAGAGGUCAUGGGGCGUAAUAUAGUAUAUCAGAGGUCAUUACAAUCCGUUUUGUAGUGAUUCCUAUGUUGUUGAUGUAAAUAAUAUUUGUUGGUCUGUGGUGUGUAAUGAGGAGCAACCAGACGCUGCUGGUCUGUGGUGUGUAAUGAGGAGCAACCAGACGCUGCUGGUCUGUAAUGAGGAGCAACCAGACGCUGUUGGUCUGUGGUGUGUAAUGAGGAGCAACCAGACGCUGCUGGUCUGUGGUGUGUAAUGAGGAGCAACCAGACGCUGCUGGUCUGUGGUGUGUAAUGAGGAGCAACCAGACGCUGUUGGUCUGUGGUGUGUAAUGAGGAGCAACCAGACGCUGCUGGUCUGUGGUGUGUAAUGAGGAGCAACCAGACGCUGCUGGUC